AAAUUGAAGAGUUUGAUCAUGGCUCAGAUUGAACGCUGGCGGCAGGCCUAACACAUGCAAGUCGAGCGGUAGCACAGAAGAGCUUGCUCUUCGGGUGACGAGCGGCGGACGGGUGAGUAAUGUCUGGGAAACUGCCUGAUGGAGGGGGAUAACUACUGGAAACGGUAGCUAAUACCGCAUAACGUCUUCGGACCAAAGAGGGGGACCUUCGGGCCUCUUGCCAUCGGAUGUGCCCAGAUGGGAUUAGCUAGUAGGUGAGGUAAUGGCUCACCUAGGCGACGAUCCCUAGCUGGUCUGAGAGGAUGACCAGCCACACUGGAACUGAGACACGGUCCAGACUCCUACGGGAGGCAGCAGUGGGGAAUAUUGCACAAUGGGCGCAAGCCUGAUGCAGCCAUGCCGCGUGUGUGAAGAAGGCCUUCGGGUUGUAAAGCACUUUCAGCGGGGAGGAAGGCGAUAAGGUUAAUAACCUUGUCGAUUGACGUUACCCGCAGAAGAAGCACCGGCUAACUCCGUGCCAGCAGCCGCGGUAAUACGGAGGGUGCAAGCGUUAAUCGGAAUGACUGGGCGUAAAGCGCACGCAGGCGGUCUGUUAAGUUGGAUGUGAAAUCCCCGGGCUUAACCUGGGAACUGCAUUCAAAACUGACAGGCUAGAGUCUUGUAGAGGGGGGUAGAAUUCCAGGUGUAGCGGUGAAAUGCGUAGAGAUCUGGAGGAAUACCGGUGGCGAAGGCGGCCCCCUGGACAAAGACUGACGCUCAGGUGCGAAAGCGUGGGGAGCAAACAGGAUUAGAUACCCUGGUAGUCCACGCUGUAAACGAUGUCGACUUGGAGGUUGUGCCCUUGAGGCGUGGCUUCCGGAGCUAACGCGUUAAGUCGACCGCCUGGGGAGUACGGCCGCAAGGUUAAAACUCAAAUGAAUUGACGGGGGCCCGCACAAGCGGUGGAGCAUGUGGUUUAAUUCGAUGCAACGCGAAGAACCUUACCUACUCUUGACAUCCACAGAAUUUGGUAGAGAUACCUUAGUGCCUUCGGGAACUGUGAGACAGGUGCUGCAUGGCUGUCGUCAGCUCGUGUUGUGAAAUGUUGGGUUAAGUCCCGCAACGAGCGCAACCCUUAUCCUUUGUUGCCAGCACGUAAUGGUGGGAACUCAAAGGAGACUGCCGGUGAUAAACCGGAGGAAGGUGGGGAUGACGUCAAGUCAUCAUGGCCCUUACGAGUAGGGCUACACACGUGCUACAAUGGCGUAUACAAAGAGAAGCGACCUCGCGAGAGCAAGCGGACCUCAUAAAGUACGUCGUAGUCCGGAUUGGAGUCUGCAACUCGACUCCAUGAAGUCGGAAUCGCUAGUAAUCGUAGAUCAGAAUGCUACGGUGAAUACGUUCCCGGGCCUUGUACACACCGCCCGUCACACCAUGGGAGUGGGUUGCAAAAGAAGUAGGUAGCUUAACCUUCGGGAGGGCGCUUACCACUUUGUGAUUCAUGACUGGGGUGAAGUCGUAACAAGGUAACCGUAGGGGAACCUGCGGUUGGAUCACCUCCUUA
This 1543-nucleotide ribosomal RNA is filed under the name Pectobacterium parmentieri. Its description in RNAcentral is "bacterial SSU rRNA". It matches the Rfam family "Bacterial small subunit ribosomal RNA". The record is from RNAcentral. Lineage: Bacteria; Pseudomonadati; Pseudomonadota; Gammaproteobacteria; Enterobacterales; Pectobacteriaceae.